UCCCUGGUGGUCCAGGGGUUAAGACUCUGUACUUCCAAUGCUGGGGCUCAGGUUCAAUCCUUGAUCGGGAAA
Molecule: transfer RNA, 72 nt
Filed under: Ovis aries (sheep)
Lineage: Eukaryota; Metazoa; Chordata; Mammalia; Artiodactyla; Bovidae
Rfam family: tRNA
About the family: Transfer RNA (tRNA) molecules are approximately 80 nucleotides in length.
Source: Rfam by way of RNAcentral